Quercus lobata is the source of this 3054-nucleotide long non-coding RNA. RefSeq lists it as uncharacterized. Lineage: Eukaryota; Viridiplantae; Streptophyta; Magnoliopsida; Fagales; Fagaceae. The record is from RefSeq and is a predicted model, not a curated record. The transcript has 3 exons.
CCGUACAAUCAAAAAAAAAAAAAAAAAAAACCUUGCUAUACGUAGAAAGAGAGAGACAGAAAUUGUUGCCCCGUUCGUUGUCUGCCCCAUCCCUUCUCUACUCUGUUCAUUCGCUGCCCCAUCCUCUCUCUUCAACAGUGUAUUCGGAAGUUUUUUUACAGAGUCGGGUCUAAAAUAUCCCACUGUCAAGGUGGGAUGCAAAAUUGGGUGUGGACACACAGCUUGAGGCCAUUCACAGUGAAAGCUCCUACCUAUGCCAUGGAGCUUUUUUAAGAGCAUGCUCUUAGACAAAAAGAAAAACGCUGAGAUGAAAAUAGCUGAAACACAGGAAGAAGAAAAAACGCUAGCUUUUUUCUUCAGUGCGCACCAAAACAGCAGAGGAUCAUCCAAGAAGGUUUGCCGACGUCGAACUAGGUUCUUUUUAAGGCUGUACAGGCACUGCCCGCCACCAACAAAACUGGCCAGAGCCGAACCGAUCUGCCCACCUCAAACCUCCACCGCAGGUGUUAGGCACGGUGGUUGGCAGUAAUUUUCAAGCACCAACGUCGGCCAGUACGGUUGUUGACAAAGGUUUUUGGAUUCCGGUGAACACCGAACUGCACCGAUUUGCUUAUAUAUAUACAAAACUUGAGAUUUCUACCCACUGCUAAUCAACCCAUGAUUCAUCUUCUUGAAACCCAGCAAACCCAUCAAUUGAGAAGAUCAAAACAGUGAAACCAAAACCAUAUGUGAACAAAAAUCAAACCCAUGUGAAAAAAAAUCAAACCCAUCAAACGAUCAAACCCAGCAACCGGAACCGAUCAACCCAUCCACCAAGCAAACACAAAUCAAACCCAUUAAAACAACCCUGAACCGAUCAACCCAUCCACCACUGAGGGAACCCGAUCUUCGCCAGCAUUGGACUGGGUUGCCUUCCUCAGCUCUUCGUCGACGUUGGACCGAUGUAGGCGGGCAUGGACCUCUCUUCUCGAAGACACAGGCGUUCAGGUGGGUGAGGAGUUAAAAAAAAGGUAAAAACGCAACCCUUUCAGCUGAGCUAUAGUACCUGUAUCAAAAAAUAUCAUCCGUGUUUUUUAACUUAUUUGCUAUAGUGUUUUCAGUUUCAGCAAAAAUAAGUUGUAUUCAAACGGACCCAUUGUGUCUUUUAUAUCAUAGAGGUGUAAUAAUGUAUAUUUUCUUUAUCUGUAAGCAGUCAAUUUACGUAUCUGUAAAGGUUAGGUCCUUUCGUAGUAGUAUUCUGGUUAUGUUAUAUAUUAUAAGCCUAUAUAAAAAACUCUAUAUACUACUUUCGUGUUUGUGUGUUCUAAUAAAUAUUAUUUUUUUCUCAAAAAAAAAAAAUUUACGUAUUUGCAAGCAAAUUUAGGAAGGACAAGUGAAAUGAUUUGUUGGCGUAAUGUAGUUGAGAAGAUUUUGGAUUCAUAAAUCAACUUUUUUUUUUAAUGUGAGUUAAUGUAAUUUUUUUUUAAUUCAAGGUUUUCUUAUAAAUUGUUCAAUAUACAUUUGGCAGUUAAACAGAUUCAUUUAGAAUUGAAUAAAUUUUUUAUUUCAGUUAUUUUCAAUAAUUGAAAUUUAGUUUGCUUUUGGACGAAUUCUGUCAGUUCAACAGCAAUAAUUUAGUGCAGAAAAAUUUAAGGUGGUGUUUUUUUUUUUUUUUUUUUUUUUUUCAUUAAGGUUUGAUUUUUGGUUUUUCCACGUUUAAAUUUUUCCUCUUAAAGUGUUUGUACCAAUAGAAAUUAAAAUAUUAUUUCUUUGUAUUUAUCCAUUAGAAUUUUACCUUAUAUUAUUAGUCAAUAUGUUCUCCUUAGUUUUCAUGAUUGUUAUAGAUCAACAAAAAUAGUUUGAGUGGAUUAUGAAUAGAAGUACACUUCUACUAAAGAAAACAAUUUUUGGAACAUGAAGCUCAAAAGGUUGUAUUAGUUUCUAUCAUUUCAAACGUUACAUUCAAAUAGGCCUUCAUUAUGCUAUUGCCACUAGUUGGACAACAAUCACCCAUUUAGCACACCAAAGAAUCCAUUUUGUUCCUAUUGUGUAUACCUUUGUAGUUGGCAUGUUCAAGAUGGACUAAAUUUAAGGGGGUUCUACAUAUGUGCUAUAGUUUUUGCAUGCGAAUGAUGAUGGCUCAAUUCAUCCAAGUGGAACGGAGCUGACAUUUAUAGUGCAUCAGGACUAGCUAGAAUAUGGCUUAGCUCACUAGAUGUAUUUUUGGGUUAAUGAGUUCUCAGACUUUAUUUUCGACUACAGGGAAUUUUGGACUUUUGACAUUGUUAUUGAACUUGACCCUAUAUUGCUCAAUUGUCAUUUUUGUUUUUUGAAUUGAUUGGCAUUAUUAAAACAAAGCCUUUAAUAAACAUAUUAAUUGCUGUAUUUUUAUUGUAUUGUUAUGUUAAAUUGAUGGUAUUUUAAAUGUGUAAAACGUUCCCCCGCACAUUGUGCGGAUUCUAGUAAUAACUAAUAAUCAAAACGUUUGACUUUUUGUUGACUGCUCCUCAUUGUGUCAUGUGGCUACAUAAAUUGCAGUUAAAUUUACAUUCUAAAACAUCGAACAGUUGUGCCUUUUCAAUAUUUCUAUUCACAAUUACACCUAUUCUGAAUCAGUGCUAGUGCGCCUAUAAAUAGGCAUCCUUCAUUUCAUUUUAAAAGGUUAGUUUUUUCAUUCAUUUAUAAGAGUCUUCAGAGAGAGAGAGACACAGUUCUAUUCGUUGUGCACGGGAAUUGUAGUGCUUCUUUUACGUGUUGUUCAUCAUUUUAUCUUGGUCAGUUUUAUAUCAACCAUUUUGUAUUCAUUUGAUCCGUAAGUUUUACUUUAUUUCUCUUAUACAUUCACACAGAUUUGUACAUAUAUUGUUUAUUGAUCUUAUUUACAAAAGUAAAUUAAUUGUGUAAUAAUAUCCAAUAAUCUUAAGAAAAAUCAAGUUUGAAAGUCUAGAGAAGUGAUUUUCUAAGCAAUAAAUGGUGUGGAAGAAGAGAAAAUUCAAGAGAGAUGAAAGCUUGUGAAUAGUAACAAUAGAGGAAGAAGGAAUAGAAGAGAGAAAUGAGCAAAAAAAAAAAAAAAAA